Molecule: transfer RNA, 66 nt
Filed under: Zenkerella insignis (Cameroon scaly-tail)
Lineage: Eukaryota; Metazoa; Chordata; Mammalia; Rodentia; Anomaluridae
Description: tRNA-Cys
Rfam family: tRNA
About the family: Transfer RNA (tRNA) molecules are approximately 80 nucleotides in length. Their secondary structure includes four short double-helical elements and three loops (D, anti-codon, and T loops).
Source: RNAcentral
AGUCCCGAGGUGUUUAACAUGUUGAAUUGCAAAUUCAGAGAAGCAGCUUCAAUCCUGCCGGGACUU